UGGAGGGUGAGAACCCCGUAUGUGGCUCGAAAGAAGGGUCCUUGUGUCGUAUCCUCCAAGAGUCGGGUUGUUUGGGAAUGCAGCUCAAAAUGGGUGGUAAAUUUCAUCUAAAGCUAAAUACUGGCGAGAGACCGAUAGCGAACAAGUAGAGUGAUCUAAAGAUGAAAAGUACUUUGAAAAGAGAGUGAAACAGUACGUGAAAUUGUUGAAAGGGAAGCGCUUGGUAUCAGCCCGUGGCGUCGGUCCAUCAUCCAGGUCAAGACCUGGUGCACUGGGCCGAGGUCGGGUCAGCGUGGGGGGGGGGCCCGUCGGCCAAAGGUCAGGGGAAUGUGGCUCUCUUUGGGAGCGUUAUAACCCCUGGCGGCAUGCGAUGCGGUGAGGUCGAGGUCUGCGGUUUAUCCAAGGACGCUGGCUUAAUGGUUCCAAGCGACCCGUCUUGAAACACGGACCAAGGAGUCUAACAUCUAUGCGAGUGUUUGGGUGUCAAGCCCGUUCGCGCAAUGAAAGUGAAUGCAGGCGGGAGCCGUUAGAUGGCGCACC
Molecule: ribosomal RNA, 540 nt
Filed under: uncultured Archaeorhizomycetes
Lineage: Eukaryota; Fungi; Ascomycota; Archaeorhizomycetes
Description: eukaryotic LSU rRNA
Rfam family: Eukaryotic large subunit ribosomal RNA
Source: RNAcentral